UACAGAGGAGCCAAGCGUUGUCCGGAUUGACUGGGCGUAAAGCGCACGCAGGCGGACGCGCGCGUGGGGUGUGAAAUCUGGCCGCUUAACGGCCAGGCGCCAUCCCAUACGGCGCGUCUGGAGUGAUGCAGAGGUCGAUGGAAUUGCCGGUGUAGUGGUGAAAUGCGUAGAGAUCGGCAGGAACACCCACGGGGAAGCCAGUCGACUGGGCAUCUACUGACGCUGAGGUGCGAGAGAGUGGGGAGCGAACCGG
This 253-nucleotide ribosomal RNA is filed under the name uncultured bacterium. Its description in RNAcentral is "partial 16S ribosomal RNA". It matches the Rfam family "Bacterial small subunit ribosomal RNA", at positions 524 to 776 of the family's 1533-position model. The record is from RNAcentral.